GGGAAUGUAACUCAGUGGUAGAGUGCUUGCCUAGUGUGCAAGAGACUCUGGGUUCAAUCCCCAGCACUGCAA
Ictidomys tridecemlineatus (thirteen-lined ground squirrel) is the source of this 72-nucleotide non-coding RNA. NCBI's taxonomy places the organism in Eukaryota, Metazoa, Chordata, Mammalia, Rodentia, Sciuridae. The record is from Rfam.